Molecule: non-coding RNA, 1348 nt
Organism: Danio rerio (zebrafish)
Lineage: Eukaryota; Metazoa; Chordata; Actinopteri; Cypriniformes; Danionidae
Source: RefSeq, a predicted model, not a curated record
UAUAUGUGAUGGUGUAGUGCAGCUGAUUGAUAUGAGUAACCAAAAUGUGAUGGUGCUGUGCAGCUGAUUGGCAUUGACAUCGGCCAAUCGGCACGUAGCACCGCCUUUUUAAACCUGAUUGGUCGGUGCUUGGGAUGCGUCACGUCCGACUCCGACGCACUGGUUUGGGUGUCUGUAGCCGCGGCUACAGUGCAUCGUGUGGCGGUGGCUUUUCCCUUGGCUGUGGUGGCUGGAUGACUGUUCAGUUGCAGCUAUUAAUUCCGGCACCUCGCUGUAUUGUAUCGACCAACGAGUGAUUUAGAACGUGUCUGAGUGUGCGCCCAUUGGUAAGUGAAGCACGUAUGAUGUGGUGUGAUCAUUUAAAGGACCAUGUUAAUGGGCUUGUUUGCGCUUUUCCUCCUUAGGAUCCUCCCUUUUCCCCUUUCUCUCUUACGUCGGAUCUUCCUCUGGUAUCAUUUGCUUACUAGCUCCCGUGUUCAUCGCUAUUGCCGUGGUUACUCGAGACCGUCUGCAACUGCUGCUAAUGCUAACGGCGGCGUAUUGGCUGCCGCUUGGACACCACCAAUGCAGCUGCUAGCGGGGACUGCCUGCAAUAACUCUUAGCGUGCUGCUUUGUGCUCCCCUUCAUUCUUUCAUUUGUUUAUUUGUGUUGGAUAAUUGAUUUGUCAACAUAAGCAUUCUUCUGUUUUUUUUGUUGUGUCUAUUUAUGCAAAGUAUUGAUUUUGUUUUUCGUUAUUAAGAGUAUUCUUUUUGUGAAUUUAGUCUUUCUAGUAACAGUUAAUGUUGGGUCUAGUGUAGGUCAGAUGGUGUAAAUACAGCUGUAGCUAUCUUUCAAUUAGAUCAUGUAAAGUAGGUGUUAACCUGAUUGACCCACUUAUUUGUGUUUUGUUGGUUAUUGAUUUUUAUUUUUAUUUAUUUCAGGAACUGAGGUUUCCCCCGGUGGAUGACGGGUCACUUUCCACUGGUGGUGGUGUUUCUCUAUCGUGUGCUGUGGACACUGAGUGCGUGAUUUUUUGAGUGCACUGUGGUGUGUGCGUGUGCUGGGGUAAAGUCUGUCCACUCGUACCCAGUCAGUGGGAACCUCCAAUCCUGGUUUGGUUUUGUUUAUUUAUUGUUUCUUGUGUUUAAUAAUGAAGUGGGAGUUUUUGAGGUAUUUAAGAACCGUACCAUUUGGUAGUUUUAUUCCAAAUAAAUAUUUUUGUACUUUUUCAUUAACUCACGUCUCUGUGCCUUUCUGGGAGAAACGAACCUGUGUCCUUUUCUAAUAGUUGUUUCCCUGGGUAACUCCUGGGGUGGCGUAGUCGGUUAUUUUUAUUUACAGAGAUUUAAACCCUACUCUAUACCCUCG